RNAcentral lists this ribosomal RNA (474 nucleotides) under uncultured bacterium. RNAcentral describes it as "bacterial SSU rRNA". It matches the Rfam family "Bacterial small subunit ribosomal RNA", at positions 335 to 801 of the family's 1533-position model. The record is from RNAcentral.
ACUCCUACGGGAGGCAGCAGUAGGGAAUCUUCCACAAUGGGCGCAAGCCUGAUGGAGCAACACCGCGUGAGUGAAGAAGGGUUUCGGCUCGUAAAGCUCUGUUGUUAAAGAAGAACACGUAUGAGAGUAACUGUUCAUACGUUGACGGUAUUUAACCAGAAAGUCACGGCUAACUACGUGCCAGCGGCCGCGGUAAUACGUAGGUGGCAAGCGUUAUCCGGAUUUAUUGGGGCGUAAAGAGAGUGCAGGCGGUUUUCUAAGUCUGAUGUGAAAGCCUUCGGCUUAACCGGAGAAGUGCAUCGGAAACUGGAUAACUUGAGUGCAGAAGAGGGUAGUGGAACUCCAUGUGUAGCGGUGGAAUGCGUAGAUAUAUGGAAGAACACCAGUGGCGAAGGCGGCUACCUGGUCUGCAACUGACGCUGAGACUCGAAAGCAUGGGUAGCGAACAGGAUUAGAUACCCUGGUAGGAUAGCG